RNAcentral lists this ribosomal RNA (403 nucleotides) under uncultured bacterium. RNAcentral's name for it is "bacterial SSU rRNA". It matches the Rfam family "Bacterial small subunit ribosomal RNA", at positions 356 to 773 of the family's 1533-position model. The record is from RNAcentral.
GGGGAAUUUUCCGCAAUGGGCGCAAGCCUGACGGAGCGACGCCGCGUGAGUGAAGAAGGCCUUCGGGUUGUAAAGCUCUGUCCUAUGGGAAGAAGACAGUGACGGUACCAUAGGAGGAAGCCACGGCUAACUACGUGCCAGCAGCCGCGGUAAUACGUAGGUGGCAAGCGUUGUCCGGAAUUACUGGGCGUAAAGGGCACGCAGGCGGUAUAUUAAGUCGGAUGUGUAAUCUACGGGCUUAACCUGUAGUUUGGAUCCGAAACUGGAAUACUUGAGGGUAGGAGAGGACAGUGGAAUUCCUAGUGUAGCGGUGAAAUGCGUAGAUAUUAGGAGGAACACCAGUGGCGAAGGCGGCUGUCUGGCCUACAACUGACGCUGAGGUGCGAAAGCGUGGGUAGCAAAC